GACAGAGGGUGCAAACGUUGUUCGGAAUUACUGGGCGUAAAGCGCGUGUAGGCUGCUCGGAAAGUCGGAUGUGAAAGCCCUGGGCUCAACCUAGGAAGUGCAUUCGAAACUUCCGAGCUGGAGUUCUGGAGAGGAAGGCGGAAUUCUCGGUGUAGAGGUGAAAUUCGUAGAUAUCGAGAGGAACACCGGUGGCGAAGGCGGCCGUCUGGACAGUGACUGACGCUGAGACGCGAAAGCGUGGGGAGCAAACAGG
RNAcentral lists this ribosomal RNA (253 nucleotides) under uncultured bacterium. Its description in RNAcentral is "partial 16S ribosomal RNA". It matches the Rfam family "Bacterial small subunit ribosomal RNA", at positions 524 to 776 of the family's 1533-position model. The record is from RNAcentral.